This is a non-coding RNA of Camellia sinensis, 1602 nucleotides long. Lineage: Eukaryota; Viridiplantae; Streptophyta; Magnoliopsida; Ericales; Theaceae. The record is from RefSeq and is a predicted model, not a curated record.
GGAAGAAGGUGUGGUUAAAUUGGUAACAGCUGGCCCGUCACGGCAACUCUCUGCCCAACACGUUACCAAAAAAGCGAAUGGCUCACUUUUCUCUCUCCUCUCUCUCUCCUCCCCCACCUCCAUCGUCCUCCUCCUCCUCUUCCUCAUCUUCUCGGCAACUCCAAAGGCGAGUCUUUUUUCGCUCUUUCACCGUACAAUCUUCGUCUUCGUCUUCGUCUUCGUCUUCGUCUUCGGUGUCUGGGCUGUCUUCGAAACCUAAGGUCGUUGUGACCAGAGAACGCGGCAAGAACGGCAAGCUCAUCAAUGCAUUGGAAAAACAUGGGAUUAAUUGCUUGGAGCUUCCCCUCAUCGAGCACACACGGUUGCCUGAUUUGGAACGACUUUCUUCUUUACUAAGUGCAGACAAUGCUUUUGACUGGAUUGUGAUAACUUCUCCUGAAGCGGGUCUGGUUUUUCUCGAUGCUUGGAAGGCUUCUGGAACCCCAAAGGUUAAAGUAGGUGUAGUCGGAGCUGGUACAGCAAGUAUAUUUGAGGAAGUAGCACAGUCAUCAAAGUGCCUUGAUGUUGCUUUUGAACCAUCAAAAGCAACAGGUAAGGUUUUGGCUUCAGAGCUUCCAAAGCACGGGAACAAAAAAUGCACUGUCCUAUAUCCUGCUUCAGCAAAAGCUAGUGCUGAGAUUGAAGAAGGCCUGUCUAAUCGUGGAUUCGAAGUCACAAGGCUAAAUACAUACACAACGGCCCUGACUCCUAUUGUCUUCUUCCAGGUUCCUGUUCAUCAUGUAGACCAAAUAGUUCUCAUGCAGGCUCUUUCUGCUCCUGUUGUUACUGUAGCAUCGCCUUCUGCUGUUCGUGCUUGGGUUAAUCUUAUUUCAGAGUCGGAAUGCUGGGGCAAUUCUGUUGCAUGUAUUGGUGAGACAACUGCUUUGGCUGCAAAAAGAUUAGGCUUGAGAAAUGUAUAUCAUCCAACAAAUCCUGGUCUGGAAGGGACUUUGUCACGUGGAGGACGAUUGGCGGUAGUAGUGCAAAAAAUAGUCUCUAUUUCUUGGAUCAUCAGAACAAGCCUGCUCAUCAUUCCAUCCAGUUCCUAGCCACCAAGGAGGAUUUAUGGUUGUGACAUCGGCGUCUUGGACAUCCUUCUUUUCAUUUACAUGGGUUGAUAGCAUUCUCGAAGCUUUAAAAGUCCGCGAUCAAUUCCAGAAGGUCCAAUAGUGGUGCUGUUGUGCCAUCUGUAGCCUUCAGUUUUUUCAAGGGCCUGCAGGGUUCGAUUGGCAGCCAAUAAUUGCAGGAGUAAUAAGCAAACGUGCACAUUCCUAUGUAAAAUUUUCUCAAAACAAGAGAGAUAAGUCGCAAACAGCAGAACAGAAAGGUGUCAAACCGUUUGCCUUUGCGGAGUGAUCAUGUACAUUUGGCAGAGCUACUGCAAGGUAAGUUAGGCAGCUGUUUAUAGAUGAUAUUUUGUAAGACAAAUAAGCAACUUGUAUAUACAUUUUGAUGCUGUAGAUAUCCUACUGUUAAUAUAUUAAAUUCUAUGAUCAGCUUGAAGAACCCCUUUGUGGAACACUAAUACUAUUGAAAUAAAAUUUUAUUACUAAUAGCUUGUCA